This is a long non-coding RNA of Tyto alba (common barn owl), 922 nucleotides long. RefSeq lists it as uncharacterized. The record is from RefSeq and is a predicted model, not a curated record. The transcript has 3 exons. Lineage: Eukaryota; Metazoa; Chordata; Aves; Strigiformes; Tytonidae.
GACCAGGAUACGAUACCUCUGAUCCGAGGCACCAGGAGUUUAACUGACCUAUGACCAACACCACGAAGGAAGAGAUUCGCUUGGCAUGCACAGCCACGCUUUCGCUAAAUAAUACAAACUAUCUGUAUGCUUCUUGUGAUGGUAUCUGUGUAGACAAAACAGUAACACCCAACGCUACGCAGAAAAGUGCUCCAAGGCCAGAGGAGGACAGCAGCCAUUUCCAGAAAGUCCCAGAAGAACAACUUUCCCAUGAAGGGAAGAAAUGCAGUUAAGGACCAGGCUUUUAACAUACAAGACACAUUUUAAGACAAAAUGUGUUGCCGCAUGUUCAGACAGCUGACGGACUCCAACACAAGUAAUGAGGCGUGACUAAUUAAAUGGACAGGUAAAUGAACAAAGUCUCACUUAGGAGGGGCUGUCGAUUGCAGUGUCAAGCAAGGCCGGUGAUGCAAUCUGCUGUUUUGCUUGAGUUCUGGGAAAGAUGAGCUCAUCACCUGUUCAUAGCUGUCUUGAUUCAGACAUUGGGAAGUAAACUUUUGUAAGCAAACAUUUGUCUAAGUAUUUCCUCUAUCAACAGAGAAAGCAGGUGACUUCAGCUAUGAAAGCAGCGAAGAAAACACAAAGUGUGAAGUGAAACUGGCUUACAGCAGGUCCCCAACUGCAGUUUGUGCGUGUCACAACGUCUUGGCUUCAUCUCGAGUCAAGAACUGCCUUCACAGUGAUAACCACCCCCAAUCAAAACAACUUGGGAAACAUCUGACUUUAGCUGUUCAUAUUAGAAAAAAAAGUUUCCAAAAGGGUGCUUGAUCUGGACUGAAAAUCAAAUUCACAUUUUAAGAAUAAAAAUUUUGCAAGUAACUAGAUAUUCUACUUACAUGAAGCAUGCAAAUCUCAAAACUGAUUUUAAGAGAUGGCAUGUGAG